GCCGGAGUGGCGGAAUGGCAGACGCACCGGAUUCAAAAUCCGGCGAGGUUCACCCCUCGUGUGGGUUCGACUCCCACCUCCGGCA
This 85-nucleotide transfer RNA is filed under the name Planctopirus limnophila DSM 3776. Its description in RNAcentral is "tRNA-Leu (CAA) (tRNA-Leu-CAA-1-1)". It matches the Rfam family "tRNA". Rfam says of the family: Transfer RNA (tRNA) molecules are approximately 80 nucleotides in length. The record is from Rfam by way of RNAcentral. RNAcentral also lists the same sequence under 2 other names. Lineage: Bacteria; Pseudomonadati; Planctomycetota; Planctomycetia; Planctomycetales; Planctomycetaceae.